UAUUUUGGCUCGGGGCGUUCUUAAGUGAACUGAGAAGCACCCGUAUUACCUGAUCUGGAUAAUGCCAGCGUAGGGAAGUCCCGGUAUAUCUCA
This 93-nucleotide non-coding RNA is filed under the name Xenorhabdus innexi. RNAcentral's name for it is "TPP sequence". It matches the Rfam family "TPP riboswitch aptamer (THI element)". Rfam says of the family: Vitamin B(1) in its active form thiamin pyrophosphate (TPP) is an essential coenzyme that is synthesised by coupling of pyrimidine and thiazole moieties in bacteria. The record is from Rfam by way of RNAcentral. Lineage: Bacteria; Pseudomonadati; Pseudomonadota; Gammaproteobacteria; Enterobacterales; Morganellaceae.